CCGGAAUUACUGGGCGUAAAGAGCUCGUAGGUGGUUUGUCGCGUUGUUCGUGAAAUCUCACGGCUUAACUGUGAGCGUGCGGGCGAUACGGGCAGACUUGAGUACUGCAGGGGAGACUGGAAUUCCUGGUGUAGCGGUGGAAUGCGCAGAUAUCAGGAGGAACACCGGUGGCGAAGGCGGGUCUCUGGGCAGUAACUGACGCUGAGGAGCGAAAGCGUGGGGAGCGAACAGGAUUAGAUACCCUGGUAGUCCACGCCGUAAACGGUGGGUACUAGGUGUGGGUUUCCUUCCUUGGGAUCCGUGCCGUAGCUAACGCAUUAAGUACCCCGCCUGGGGAGUACGGCCGCAAGGCUAAAACUCAAAGAAAUUGACGGGGGCCCGCACAAGCGGCGGAGCAUGUGGAUUAAUUCGAUGCAACGCGAAGAACCUUACCUGGGUUUGACAUGCACAGGACGCCGGCAGAGAUGUCGGUUCCCUUGUGGCCUGUGUGCAGGUGGUGCAUGGCUGUCGUCAGCUCGUGUCGUGAGAUGUUGGGUAAAGUCCCGCAACGAGCGCAACCCUUGUCUCAUGUUGCCAGCGGGUAAUGCCGGGGACUCGUGAGAGACUGCCGGGGUCAACUCGGAGGAAGGUGGGGAUGACGUCAAGUCAUCAUGCCCCUUAUGUCCAGGGCUUCACACAUGCUACAAUGGCCGGUACAAAGGGCUGCGAUGCCGCGAGGUUAAGCGAAUCCUUUUAAAGCCGGUCUCAGUUCGGAUCGGGGUCUGCAACUCGACCCCGUGAAGUCGGAGUCGCUAGUAAUC
This 800-nucleotide ribosomal RNA is filed under the name uncultured Mycobacterium sp. RNAcentral describes it as "bacterial SSU rRNA". It matches the Rfam family "Bacterial small subunit ribosomal RNA", at positions 545 to 1343 of the family's 1533-position model. Lineage: Bacteria; Bacillati; Actinomycetota; Actinomycetes; Mycobacteriales; Mycobacteriaceae. The record is from RNAcentral.